This 301-nucleotide ribosomal RNA is filed under the name uncultured bacterium. Its description in RNAcentral is "partial 16S ribosomal RNA". It matches the Rfam family "Bacterial small subunit ribosomal RNA", at positions 509 to 807 of the family's 1533-position model. The record is from RNAcentral.
CAGUCGCCACGGUAACACGGAGGAUCCAAGCGUUAUCCGGAUUUAUUGGGUUUAAAGGGUGCGUAGGUGGCCUGUUAAGUCAGGGGUGAAAGACGGUAGCUUAACUAUCGCAGUGCCCUUGAUACUGAUGGGCUUGAAUGAACUAGAGGUAGGCGGAAUGUGACAAGUAGCGGUGAAAUGCAUAGAUAUGUCACAGAACACCAAUUGCGAAGGCAGCUUACUAUGGUUUUAUUGACACUGAGGCACGAAAGCGUGGGGAUCAAACAGGAUUAGAUACCCCCGUAGUCCCUGUCUCUUAUAC